UGGGGAAUUUUGCACAAUGGGGGAAACCCUGAUGCAGCGACGCCGCGUGAUUUAGAAGGCCUUCGGGUUGUAAAAAUCUUUUCUAUGGGAAGAAAAUGACAGUACCAUAGGAAUAAGGACCGGCUAAUUACGUGCCAGCAGCCGCGGUAAUACGUAAGGUCCGAGCGUUGUCCGGAAUCAUUGGGCGUAAAGGGUACGUAGGCGGGUAAGCAAGUUAGAAGUGAAAUCCUAUAGCUCAACUAUAGUAAGCUUUUAAAACUGCUCAUCUUGAGGUAUGGAAGGGAAAGUGGAAUUCCUAGUGUAGCGGCGAAAUGCGCAGAUAUUAGGAGGAAUACCGGUGGCGAAGGCGACUUUCUGGCCAUAACCUGACGCUGAGGUACGAAAGCGUGGGUAGCAAACAGG
This 402-nucleotide ribosomal RNA is filed under the name bacterium. RNAcentral's name for it is "partial 16S ribosomal RNA". It matches the Rfam family "Bacterial small subunit ribosomal RNA", at positions 355 to 776 of the family's 1533-position model. The record is from RNAcentral.